This 253-nucleotide unclassified non-coding RNA is filed under the name uncultured Alphaproteobacteria bacterium. Its description in RNAcentral is "contains 16S-23S intergenic spacer region". It matches the Rfam family "Bacterial small subunit ribosomal RNA", at positions 524 to 776 of the family's 1533-position model. Lineage: Bacteria; Pseudomonadati; Pseudomonadota; Alphaproteobacteria. The record is from RNAcentral.
UACGAAUGGAGCAAGCGUUGUUCGGAAUCACUGGGCUUAAAGCGUGCGCAGGCGGACAAGAAAGUCAGAAGUGAAAGCCCUGGGCUCAACCCAGGAACUGCUUUUGAAACUCCUUGUCUAGAAUCCGGGAGAGGUCAGUAGAAUUCCAAGUGUAGAGGUGAAAUUCGCAGAGAUUUGGAGGAAUACCAGUGGCGUAGGCGACUGACUGGACCGGUAUUGACGCUCAGGCACGAAAGCGUGGGGAGCAAACAGG